GAUCCUGGCUCAGAACGAACGCUGGCGGCAGGCUUAACACAUGCAAGUCGAGCGCCCCGCAAGGGGAGCGGCAGACGGGUGAGUAACGCGUGGGAACGUACCUUUUGCUACGGAAUAACUCAGGGAAACUUGUGCUAAUACCGUAUGUGCCCUUCGGGGGAAAGAUUUAUCGGCAAAGGAUCGGCCCGCGUUGGAUUAGCUAGUUGGUGAGGUAAAGGCUCACCAAGGCGACGAUCCAUAGCUGGUCUGAGAGGAUGAUCAGCCACACUGGGACUGAGACACGGCCCAGACUCCUACGG
RNAcentral lists this ribosomal RNA (299 nucleotides) under Ochrobactrum sp. R-26898. RNAcentral describes it as "16S ribosomal RNA". It matches the Rfam family "Bacterial small subunit ribosomal RNA", at positions 15 to 344 of the family's 1533-position model. Lineage: Bacteria; Pseudomonadati; Pseudomonadota; Alphaproteobacteria; Hyphomicrobiales; Brucellaceae. The record is from RNAcentral.